This 1798-nucleotide ribosomal RNA is filed under the name Dioscorea cayenensis subsp. rotundata (Guinea yam). RNAcentral describes it as "eukaryotic LSU rRNA". The stretch from base 1 to 1352 matches the Rfam family "Eukaryotic large subunit ribosomal RNA", at positions 817 to 3401 of the family's 3401-position model. The record is from RNAcentral. Lineage: Eukaryota; Viridiplantae; Streptophyta; Magnoliopsida; Dioscoreales; Dioscoreaceae.
CAAAAGAUGGUGAACUAUGCCUGAGCGGGGCGAAGCCAGAGGAAACUCUGGUGGAGGCCCGCAGUGAUACUGACGUGUAAAUCAUUUGUCUGACUUGGGUAUAGGGGCGAAAGACUAAUCAAACCAUCUAGUAGCUGGUUCCCUCCGAAGUUUCCCUCAGGAUAGCUAUAGCCCGUGCGCAAGUUCUAUCGGGUAAAGCCAAUGAUUAGAAGCAUCGGGGGCAACGCCCUUAACCUAUUCUUAAACUUUAAAUAGGUAGGACGGUGUAGCUGUUCCGGUGAGCCGCGCCAUGGAAUCGAGAGCUCCAAGUGGGCCAUUUUUGAUAAGCAGAACUGGCGACGCGGGAAGAAAUGGAAGCCGGGUUACAGUGCCCGAUUGCGCGCUAACCCAGAACCCACAAAGGGUGUUGGUCGAUUAAGACAGCAUGACGGUGGUUAUGGAAGUCGAAAUCCGCUAAGUAGCAAAUAUUCAAAUGAGAACUUUGAAGGCCGAAGAGGGGAAAGGUUCCAUGUGAACGGCACUUGCACAUUUGUUAGCCGAUCCUAAGGGACGGGGGAGGCCCGUCAGAGAGAGCGUCCGCGCGCGAGCUCCGAAAGGGAAUCGGGUUAAAAUUCCUGAGCUAGGACGUGGCGGCUGACGGCGACGUUAGGGAGUCCGAAGACGCUGGCGGGGUCCCCGGGGAGAGUUAUCUUUUCUGCUUAACAUUGCGCGGUGUCCGGUGCGCCCCCAGCGGCCCGUGAAAAUCUGGAGGACCGAGUGCCACCCACGCCCAGUCGUACUCAUAACCGCAUUAGGUCUCCAAGGUGAACAGCCUCUGGCCGAUGGAACAAUGUAGGCAAGGGAAGUAGGCAAAACAAAUCCGUAACUUCGGGAAAAGGAUUGGCUCUGAGGGAUGGGCACGGGGGUCCCGGUCCCGAACCCGUCGGCUAUCGGCGAACUGCUCGAGCCGUGUCUAUGGCGAGAGUGGGUCACCGCGUGCCAGACGGGGGACGGACAGGGAACGGCCAGCGUGCCGCUCCCGCAACGUGGGGGCCUUCCCCGGCGUCGAAAAGUUGACUCAGAACUGGUACGGACAAGGGGAAUCCGACUGUUUAAUUAAAACAAAGCAUUGCGAUGGUCCCCGCGGAUGCUCACGCAAUGUGAUUUCUGCCCAGUGCUCUAAAUUUCAGAGUGAAGAAAUUCAAGCAAGCACGGCUAAACGGCGGGAGUAACUAUGACUCUCUUAAGGUAGCCAAAUGCCUCGUCAUCUAAUUAGUGUCGCGUAUGAAUGGAUUAACAAGAUUCCCACUGUCCCUAUCUAUUAUCCAGUGAAACUACAGCCAAGGGAAGUUUCACAUCAUUUGGUAUCACAUGAAAACCCCCCGGGCAAAGUUUCACAGAUUUUGGAUAAGCGUAGCCAAUGUUCGAUCGGGGGAGUAUGCGUCGACGUCAGGAUGGGUAGUUGGUUGACUUUGGAAUCUCACAGCGGGACCAUCGUAGAUGGAUUUGUCAUCAUAAAAAACCACAAGGGGUGAAGUUUCAUCAAUAAGGCAUGAGUGGAUCGGGAGAUGACACGAAGCGCGCCCCUCCCGUCGUGGGAUGUCAUGCCGGCGCCGCCGGGGCGGUGCGGGCGACGGCGGCAUCCCGGCCUGGCUCCCCGGCCCCAUCAUUUGGCAUCACAUGAAAACCCCUCGGUCAAAGUUUCACAGAUUUUGGAUGAUCAUAGCCAAUGUUUGAUCAGGGGAGUAUGCGUCGCCGUCAGGAUGGGCGUUCGGUCGACUUUGGAUUCUCACCGCGGGACCAUCGCAUAUGGAUUUGU